Molecule: ribosomal RNA, 498 nt
Filed under: uncultured bacterium
Lineage: Bacteria
Description: partial 16S ribosomal RNA
Rfam family: Bacterial small subunit ribosomal RNA
Source: RNAcentral
GACGAACGCUGGCGGCGUGCUUAACACAUGCAAGUCGAACGGGCCCGCUCUCUUUUUUGGGGGUGGGUUGAGUGGCGAACGGGUGAGUAUCACGUGAGUAACCUGCCCCCUGCUCCUGGAUAACUGCUUGAAGGGCGGCUAAUACGGGGUGUGCCGGCUGGUCCGCAUGGGCCUGGUCGGGAUAGUUUCAUCUUCGGGUGUUUCGGUGGGGGAUGGGCUCGCGGCCUAUCAGCUUGUUGGUGGGGUGAUGGCCCACCAGGGCGGUGACGGGUAGCCGGCCUGGGAGGGUGGGCGGCCACACUGGGACUGAGACACGGCCCAGACUCCUGCGGGAGGCAGCAGUGGGGGGUAUUGCACAAUGGGCGGAAGCCUGAUGCAGCGACGUCGCGUGAGGGAUGGAGGCCUUCGGGUUGUGAACCUCUUUCUCCGGUGGUGAAGGCCCUGUCCGUUGCGGCGGGGUUGACGGUAGCCGGGUAUGAAGCGCCGGCUAACUACGUG